CCUACGGGAGGCAGCAGUGGGGAAUUUUCCGCAAUGGGCGAAAGCCUGACGGAGCAACGCCGCGUGAGGGAUGAAGGCCUCUGGGCUGUAAACCUCUUUUAUCAAGGAAGAAGAUCUGACGGUACUUGAUGAAUAAGCCACGGCUAAUUCCGUGCCAGCAGCCGCGGUAAUACGGGAGUGGCAAGCGUUAUCCGGAAUUAUUGGGCGUAAAGCGUCCGCAGGCGGUCUUGUAAGUCUGUCGUUAAAGCGUGGAGCUUAACUCCAUUUCGGCGGUGGAAACUACAAGACUAGAGUGUGGUAGGGGCAGAGGGAAUUCCCGGUGUAGCGGUGAAAUGCGUAGAUAUCGGGAAGAACACCAGUGGCGAAGGCGCUCUGCUGGGCCAUAACUGACGCUCAUGGACGAAAGCUAGGGGAGCGAAAGGGAUUAGAUACCCCUGUAGUCCUAGCCGUAAACGAUGAACACUAGGUGUCGGGGGAAUCGACCCCCUCGGUGUCGUAGCUAACGCGUUAAGUGUUCCGCCUGGGGAGUACGCNCGCAGUGUGAACUACAAUAGUAAUUAGACGGCGUGAGACGUGCCGACGGACGACCGACGAGGGAGGUAGG
RNAcentral lists this ribosomal RNA (604 nucleotides) under uncultured bacterium. Its description in RNAcentral is "bacterial SSU rRNA". It matches the Rfam family "Bacterial small subunit ribosomal RNA", at positions 338 to 1414 of the family's 1533-position model. The record is from RNAcentral.